This 516-nucleotide ribosomal RNA is filed under the name uncultured bacterium. Its description in RNAcentral is "bacterial SSU rRNA". It matches the Rfam family "Bacterial small subunit ribosomal RNA", at positions 9 to 526 of the family's 1533-position model. The record is from RNAcentral.
GAGUUUGAUCCUGGCUCAGGAUGAACGCUGGCGGCGUGCUUAACACAUGCAAGUCGAACGGGAAACAUUUUAUUGAAGCUUCGGCAGAUUUAGAUUGUUUCUAGUGGCGGACGGGUGAGUAACGCGUGGGUAACCUGCCUUAUACCGGGGGAUAACAGCCAGAAAUGACUGCUAAUACCGCAUAAGCGCACAGAACCGCAUGGUUCGGUGUGAAAAACUCCGGUGGUAUAAGAUGGACCCGCGUUGGAUUAGCUAGUUGGCAGGGCAGCGGCCUACCAAGGCGACGAUCCAUAGCCGGCCUGAGAGGGUGAACGGCCACAUUGGGACUGAGACACGGCCCAGACUCCUACGGGAGGCAGCAGUGGGGAAUAUUGCACAAUGGGGGAAACCCUGAUGCAGCGACGCCGCGUGAAGGAAGAAGUAUCUCGGUAUGUAAACUUCUAUCAGCAGGGAAGAUAAUGACGGUACCUGACUAAGAAGCCCCGGCUAACUACGUGCCAGCCGCCGCGGUAAUUC